RNAcentral lists this ribosomal RNA (600 nucleotides) under Triticum aestivum (bread wheat). Its description in RNAcentral is "partial small subunit ribosomal RNA". The record is from RNAcentral. Lineage: Eukaryota; Viridiplantae; Streptophyta; Magnoliopsida; Poales; Poaceae.
AUGGGAGAACAUGCUGAGAAGGAGCAUGCCGAUUUCGAGGCGAGGGUCAAGAGGACGAUAUACAUCGACCACCUCUCCCCUGUGGUUACUCGCCAAGUUAUCCGAGCAGCUCUUUCCCAGUGUGCGAAUGUUGUCAGCGUGGAGUUCAUUGAGAACUACACAAUCCCGUACGACAUCCCUGCCGCCGCGCUGGUGGAAUUGGACGACGAGUCGCAGGCCAAGUCUGCUGUGGACUUGAUGCGAGAUUUCCCCUUCAUAAUCGGUGGAAUGCCCAGGCCUGUCCGGGCUAGCUUGGCAAGGCCCGAAAUGUUUGCUGAUCGUCCUAGCCUGCCUGGCUCGAAGAUGGAGUUCCUUUGGCUGAAACAAGGAGAUCCGGAGUAUGAUGGGAUGAGCAAGCUGAAGAGCCUUGCUAAGAGGCAGGAAGCAGAGAACAUGGCGCUCAUCAAGAGUAUACUGGAGGAGGAGAAGGAACUGGCGGCUCAGCAGCAGAUAAUGCUUGACGCCAACUACUACAAGUACGACCUGCUCGAGAGUAUCGUGCAAAACGGGACCAUCAAGAACCUCGCUGGCCAUUAUAGGGUCAACUUGUUCGACAGCUGA